RNAcentral lists this ribosomal RNA (440 nucleotides) under uncultured Pseudomonas sp. RNAcentral's name for it is "bacterial SSU rRNA". It matches the Rfam family "Bacterial small subunit ribosomal RNA", at positions 358 to 790 of the family's 1533-position model. The record is from RNAcentral. Lineage: Bacteria; Pseudomonadati; Pseudomonadota; Gammaproteobacteria; Pseudomonadales; Pseudomonadaceae.
GGAAUAUUGGACAAUGGGCGAAAGCCUGAUCCAGCCAUGCCGCGUGUGUGAAGAAGGUCUUCGGAUUGUAAAGCACUUUAAGUUGGGAGGAAGGGCAGUUACCUAAUACGUGACUGUCUUGACGUUACCGACAGAAUAAGCACCGGCUAACUCUGUGCCAGCAGCCGCGGUAAUACAGAGGGUGCAAGCGUUAAUCGGAAUUACUGGGCGUAAAGCGCGCGUAGGUGGUUUGUUAAGUUGAAUGUGAAAUCCCCGGGCUCAACCUGGGAACUGCAUCCAAAACUGGCAAGCUAGAGUAUGGUAGAGGGUAGUGGAAUUUCCUGUGUAGCGGUGAAAUGCGUAGAUAUAGGAAGGAACACCAGUGGCGAAGGCGACUACCUGGACUGAUACUGACACUGAGGUGCGAAAGCGUGGGGAGCAAACAGGAUUAGAUACCCCAG